Molecule: ribosomal RNA, 580 nt
Filed under: uncultured cyanobacterium
Lineage: Bacteria; Bacillati; Cyanobacteriota
Description: bacterial SSU rRNA
Rfam family: Bacterial small subunit ribosomal RNA
Source: RNAcentral
GGUAUGCUUACACAUGCAAGUCGAACGGAGUAGCAAUACUUAGUGGCGGACGGGUGAGUAACGCGUAAGAAUCUAGCUUCAGGUUCGGGACAACAGUUGGAAACGACUGCUAAUACCGGAUGUGCCUACGGGUGAAAGGCUUGCUGCCUGAAGAAGAGCUUGCGUCCGAUUAGCUAGUUGGUAAGGUAAGAGCUUACCAAGGCAUCGAUCGGUAGCUGGUCUGAGAGGAUGACCAGCCACACUGGGACUGAGACAAGGCCCAGACUCCUACGGGAGGCAGCAGUGGGGAAUUUUCCGCAAUGGGCGAAAGCCUGACGGAGCAAUACCGCGUGAGGGAAGAAGGCUCUUGGGUUGUAAACCUCUUUUCUUAGGGAAUAAAAAAAUGAAGGUACCUAAGGAAUAAGCAUCGGCUAACUCCGUGCCAGCAGCCGCGGUAAUACGGAGGAUGCAAGCGUUAUCCGGAAUGAUUGGGCGUAAAGCGUCCGCAGGUGGUACAACAAGUCUAGUGUCAAAGUCCGGGGCUCAACCCCGGGAAGGCGGUAGAAACUGUUGAACUAGAGGGUCGUAGGGGUAGAGGGAA